GCCUGGCUGGCUCAGUUGAAGAGCAUGUGACUCUUGAUCUCCAGGUUGUGAGUUCAAGCCCCACAUUGGGUG
RNAcentral lists this transfer RNA (72 nucleotides) under Canis lupus familiaris (dog). It matches the Rfam family "tRNA". From Rfam's summary of the family: Transfer RNA (tRNA) molecules are approximately 80 nucleotides in length. Their secondary structure includes four short double-helical elements and three loops (D, anti-codon, and T loops). The record is from Rfam by way of RNAcentral. Lineage: Eukaryota; Metazoa; Chordata; Mammalia; Carnivora; Canidae. RNAcentral also lists the same sequence under 1 other name.